AUGAAGUGCAGAUUUGUAUUAGGAAUCCUGUGGAGUGAUCAUAUGGAAAUGUCGAUUUCCUAUAUUGGGUUUGGGAAUAAAUGUCAUAAGCUUAGAUACAGUACACACUAUUAUAGUGUCAACUGCUGUACUGCACAAUAUUGCUUGUUAAUUUGGAGAGGAGUAGCUUAAAGUAAUUAAUUUGCAAGGCAAGCACAUCAAAUUAAUUUGACAUUAUUUUGUCAACAACCUUAUGCUAUAAAUAAUCAAGGAAGAAAUCAGUGUAUGAAUAGAAAACGCUUCUAAUGCAAGUAUUCCCAUCUCCGUAGCAUGUUUUUCAGCUUGAAAUCUUAUACUAUCUUAUACUUCAUUUUUUAAC
Molecule: non-coding RNA, 358 nt
Organism: Cinara cedri
Lineage: Eukaryota; Metazoa; Arthropoda; Insecta; Hemiptera; Aphididae
Source: the annotation of a GenBank genome assembly